GUUCUCUUCCCCAAGAACUCCAUCGUUCGUCACAGCACAUUCACUGUCCUCUCCAGCAUGUUUUUGCUUCUUUAACUCAACAUGUUUUUGCUUCUUUAGCUCAGCCAGUUUUUGCUUCUUUAACUCAGCCUCUUUUCUCUUAGCCUCGGCUUCUUGAUUCUUUAACUCAGCCAGUUUUUGUUUCUUUAACGCAGCCUCUUUUCUCUUAGCGUCAGCCUUCUCCUUCCUCUUCAACGCAGCCUCUGCCUGCACUGCUUUUUUCUUAUCAGUGGCAUCCUCAUCCUUUACAGUACGCCUGCCCCUGCAGCCGCGUCCAUAGGCUAGAACCUUAGCAUCCUUAUCAUCCUUAGUAGCCUUUGAAGGAGAAAAAUAUACGAAAUCAAGAUCAGUAGCUUUAGCGACACUACCAAACUCCUCAGCCAAAGUCUUUUCCACCCUGUAUCCUUACCAAACUCCUCAGCCAAAGUCCUUUUCACCCCUGUAUCCUUAUCAAACUCCUCAGCCAAAGUCCUUUUCACCCCUGU
RNAcentral lists this long non-coding RNA (524 nucleotides) under Brassica napus (rape). Its description in RNAcentral is "long non-coding RNA (BNAP_LNC012910)". Lineage: Eukaryota; Viridiplantae; Streptophyta; Magnoliopsida; Brassicales; Brassicaceae. The record is from RNAcentral.